RNAcentral lists this ribosomal RNA (1179 nucleotides) under uncultured Methylobacteriaceae bacterium. RNAcentral describes it as "bacterial SSU rRNA". It matches the Rfam family "Bacterial small subunit ribosomal RNA", at positions 208 to 1405 of the family's 1533-position model. Lineage: Bacteria; Pseudomonadati; Pseudomonadota; Alphaproteobacteria; Hyphomicrobiales; Methylobacteriaceae. The record is from RNAcentral.
AAAUUUUUCCUGCAAGAAUCGCCCCGCCUUUGUUUAACUAGUUGGUGGGGGAAGGCCCCCCCAAGGGGGCGAUCAGUAAGUGGUUUGUAAGGAAGAUCAGCCCCAUCGGGAUGAAGCCACGCCCCAACUCCUUCGGGAGGCAGCAGUGGGGAUUAUUGUCAAUGGGGGCAAGCAUGAUCCACCCAUCCCGCCUGAGUGAUGAAGCCUUCAGGGUUGUAAAGUUCUUUCAUUGGGGAGGAUAAUGACGGUACCCGCAGAAGAAGCCCCGGCUAACUUCGUGCCAGCAGCCGCGGUAAUAAGAAGGGGGCUAGCGUUGUUCGUAAUCAAUGGGCGUAAAGGGCGCGUAGGCGGCUUUGUAAGUCGGGGGUGAAAGCAUGUGGCUCAACCACAGAAUUGCCUUCGAUACUGCAUGGCUUGAGACCGGAAGAGGUUAGUGGAACUACGAGUGUAGAGGUGAAAUUCGUAGAUAUUUGCAAGAACACCAGUGGCGAAGGCGGCUGACUGGUCCGGUUCUGACGCUGAGGCGCGAAAGCGUGGGGAGCAAACAGGAUUAGAUACCCUGGUAGUCCACGCCGUAAGCGAUGAAUGCCAGCCGUUGGCGAGCUUGCUCGUCAGUGGCGCAGCUAACGCUUUAAGCAUUCCGCCUGGGGAGUACGGUCGCAAGAUUGAAACUCAAAGGAAUUGACGGGGGCCCGCACAAGCGGUGGAGCAUGUGGUUUAAUUAGAAGCAACGCGCAGAACCUUACCAGCCUUUGACAUGUCCCGUGUGGAUCCUGGGGACAGGAUUCUUCAGUUCGGCUGGCGGGAACACAGGUGCUGCAUGGCUGUCGUCAGCUCGUGUCGUGAGAUGUUGGGUUAAGUCCCGCAACGAGCGCAACCCUCGUCCUUAGUUGCCAUCAUUCAGUUGGGCACUCUAAGGGGACUGCCGGUGAUAAGCCGAGAGGAAGGUGGGGAUGACGUCAAGUCCUCAUGGCCCUUACGGGAUGGGCUACACACGUGCUACAAUGGCGGUGACAAAGGGCAGCGAACCCGCGAGGGGGAGCUAAUCCCUAAAAGCCGUCUCAGUUCAGAUUGCACUCUGCAACUCGAGUGCAUGAAGGCGGAAUCGCUAGUAAUCGUGGAUCAGAACGCCACGGUGAAUACGUUCCCGGGCCUUGUACACACCGCCCGUCAUUAAAA